This 289-nucleotide ribosomal RNA is filed under the name uncultured bacterium. RNAcentral describes it as "partial 16S ribosomal RNA". It matches the Rfam family "Bacterial small subunit ribosomal RNA", at positions 775 to 1066 of the family's 1533-position model. The record is from RNAcentral.
GGAUUAGAUACCCUGGUAGUCCACGCUGUAAACGAUGAAUGCUAGGUGUCGGGGGUCGAACCUCGGUGCCGCAGCUAACGCAUUAAGCAUUCCACCUGGGGAGUACGAUCGCAAGAUUGAAACUCAAAGGAAUUGACGGGGGCCCGCACAAGCGGUGGAGCAUGUGGUUUAAUUCGAAGCAACGCGAAGAACCUUACCAAAUCUUGACAUCCUUCUGACCACUCCGUAAUGGGAGGAUCCCUUCGGGGCAGAAGAGACAGGUGGUGCAUGGUUGUCGUCAGCUCGUGCC